AGUGGGGAAUUUUGGACAAUGGGGGCAACCCUGAUCCAGCCAUGCCGCGUGUGCGAAGAAGGCCUUCGGGUUGUAAAGCACUUUUGGCGGGAAAGAAACGGCGCCGGCUAAUACCUGGCGUAACUGACGGUACCCGCAGAAUAAGCACCGGCUAACUACGUGCCAGCAGCCGCGGUAAUACGUAGGGUGCAAGCGUUAAUCGGAAUUACUGGGCGUAAAGCGUGCGCAGGCGGUUCGGAAAGAAAGAUGUGAAAUCCCAGGGCUCAACCUUGGAACUGCAUUUUUAACUCCCGAACUAGAGUGUGUCAGAGGGAGGUGGAAUUCCACGUGUAGCAGUGAAAUGCGUAGAUAUGUGGAGGAACACCGAUGGCGAAGGCAGCCUCCUGGGAUAACACUGACGCUCAUGCACGAAAGCGUGGGGAGCAAACAGGAUUAGAUACCCUGGUAGUCCACGCCCUAAACGAUGUCAACUAGCUGUUGGGUUCUUCGGAGCUUGGUAGCGCAGCUAA
This 509-nucleotide ribosomal RNA is filed under the name uncultured bacterium. Its description in RNAcentral is "bacterial SSU rRNA". It matches the Rfam family "Bacterial small subunit ribosomal RNA", at positions 353 to 855 of the family's 1533-position model. The record is from RNAcentral.